Molecule: small nuclear RNA, 106 nt
Organism: Herpailurus yagouaroundi (jaguarundi)
Lineage: Eukaryota; Metazoa; Chordata; Mammalia; Carnivora; Felidae
Source: RefSeq, a predicted model, not a curated record
GUGCUCCCUUCAGCAGCACACAUACUAAAACUGGAACAAUACAGAGCAGAUAGUAUGGCCCCUGCACAAAGAUGACACACAAAUUUGUGAACUGUAAAAAAAAAAA